This is a long non-coding RNA of Rhododendron vialii, 2283 nucleotides long. RefSeq lists it as uncharacterized. The record is from RefSeq and is a predicted model, not a curated record. NCBI's taxonomy places the organism in Eukaryota, Viridiplantae, Streptophyta, Magnoliopsida, Ericales, Ericaceae. The transcript is spliced from 2 exons.
GCUUGGUGUCUUGUUUUUUUUUUUUUGGUAAGUAAAUUUUAUAGCACCAAAAAACGCAAACAAGCUACAAAAACACCGCGGCAUCCCCCUGAAUAAGUACACAGACCUCCCUAUACAACGAAGGAGAAACACUACCUACGAACAAACAGCAACCUAUCCACAGUUAUUGAUUCUAAAAAUUCUGGAAUCCAGCAACCAUUCAUCACAAAGAUUCCUAUUAACAGCAGAAAAUUUGAUUGAGGAUAAGGAGCUAAGCUUAGCUUGAAUGGCUUCAAGAAUAGCAGCCGUUACCCUUUCCAAAUCUCCUCUCUUAUGCUGAAAAACCCUCAGAGUACGUUCCGCCCAAAGGAGAUAUACCGUAGCAGCCAAAGAAAUUUUGUAAAUAACACUACCAAAGCUCCUUCCCUUUCUAUGGCAGCCAGCCCCUUGGAGCUCCUGUUCCAAGGGGAGCGAGGUUCUAGUGAUACCAUUCUUGGUCAAGACGACAUUCCACACUGAGGAGGUAAAAUGACAGUCAAAGAACAAGUGAGCAUGAGAUUCAAUGGCUGUCAUACACAUCACACAUUGAGUAUCAACAGCCAUGCCCAAUUGUCUAGCCUAUCUUUAGUGGCUAAUCUACCCCAUACAUCUAGGAACAUUAUUGCCGUACCAGACAAAAGAAUACCAAGUUUGGAUAGGGUACCUGGGCCUACAAGCCUCCCAGGCUGUCUUUGUAGAAUAAAUUCCAUCAGCUGAAAGGGUCCAGCAAAUUGAAUCCUUAACUGAUGGGUUAGGGAGAAAAUCAGCGGGAGUUAGCCUUAAGACCUCCAUAAUAGCCCUGUUGUGCUGCCUCGGCCACCUCCACUCUCCUUGCACAAUAAUGGAAGACACCUUUGCCUUCAAGGCACUGCCUCUGUUCAAAACAAUAGAGUCCCCAAACUUCUUUUAGAGUGCACCAAUUGGGCGCCAAUUAUCAGUCCAAAGGAAAGUAUCCUCCCCAUUGCCAAUACAGUAUCUGAUCCAUUCUUGACAAAUAUCCCUUAAUUUGAGCAGUUUCCUGAUUCUGAGAAUAUACAUAUGCACCCAUUUAACCCAAAGCGAAUCAGCUUUUUUGCUAAGGGCCUAGAGAUAUCUAAUAUUAGAAGCCUUGUUCCAUUCCAUAAGGAUCGAAAACCCUACCCACCUUCAUUUUUAGGUACACAAAGGUGAGUCCAACUGACUUUGGCCCCUGUAUGUUUCAUGUCAAUUCCAGACCAUAAAAAGGCACAAAGCAAACCCUCAAAUCUCCUUAAUAAUUCUCUGAGGUAACACAAAAAUAGAGCUCCAAUAAGUGUGAAUACUACAAAGCACUGAUUGGAUUAAUUGAGCCCGUCCCCCAUAAGACAAGUACUUCUGAGCCCAGCUUUGAAUCCUGGCUAGACUCUUUUCUUUGAGGAUCAAACAAUCAGCAGAGGUAAGUCUAGAGCAUAUUAAGGGAACACCAAGGUACUUGACUGAAAGCUGUCCCUCAGAAAUGCCAAGCAACUCAACCAGAGACUGUCUAAAAGUAGUAGACACUCCAGAAAAGAAAAUUGAACUCUUGAGCAAGUUAGGUUGGAGACCUGAAAACUGAUGGAAUUCCUUAAGGGUAUUCAUAAUAACCCUCAAGGACCCUUCAUGAGCACUACAAAGCACAAACAAAUCAUCAGCGAACAUAGCAUGAGAAAUCCCCAAUUCCUGACAUUUGGGAUGGUAUUUGAAGUCACCAUUUUCUAUGUUGAACUGAAGGAGAGAAGAGAAAGCUUCCAUGACAAGAAGAAAACGAUAGAGGGAUAUUGGAUCCCCCUGUCUAAGCCCUUUAGCUACAGGAAAAUACCCAACUAACCCUCCAUUCAGCAUCACUGAGUACAUAGGAGUAGUCACACAAGCUUUGACCCACCCAAUGAACAUACUUGGAAAACCCAUAACAUCCAUGGUGUCCAACAAGAAGUCCCAAUCUACCGAAUCAUACUCCUUCAUAAGGUCUAUCUUAAUAGCACACCUAGGAGAUCCUAUAUCUCUGUGGUAGUUCUUGAUCAAUUCAUGCACUAGAAGAACAUUAUCAACUAUACUCCUCCCUUUAAUGAAAGCAGAUUGUGUUGGACCAAUAACCAAAGGUAAAACAGACUGCAUCCUAUUUGCAAGAAUUUUGUCAUAACUUUGUAAACCACAUUGCAGCAAGCAAUAGGUCUGAAGUCCUUAACCAUAGAAGGGUUUGCAAUCUUAUGAACCAAGGUAAGAACGGUAGAGUUCCACUCUUGAAGAAUAAAACCUUUAUGAAAGAAG